RNAcentral lists this ribosomal RNA (689 nucleotides) under uncultured bacterium. Its description in RNAcentral is "bacterial SSU rRNA". It matches the Rfam family "Bacterial small subunit ribosomal RNA", at positions 34 to 718 of the family's 1533-position model. The record is from RNAcentral.
CGCGGCGGAAUGCUUUACACAUGCAAGUCGAGCGGCAGCGCGGGGGCAACCUGGCGGCGAGCGGCGAACGGGUGAGUAAUACAUCGGAACGUGUCCCGUAGUGGGGGAUAACCCGGCGAAAGCCGGACUAAUACCGAUAUGCUCUACGGAGGAAAGUGGGGGACCCGAAGGGCCUCACGCCAUGGGAGCGGCCGAUGUCCGAUUAGCUUGUUGGUGAGGUAAAGGCUUACCAAGGCGACGAUCGGUAGCUGGUCUGAGAGGAUGAUCAGCACACUGGGACUGAGACACGGCCAGACUCCUACGGGAGGCAGCAGUGGGGAAUUUUGGACAAUGGGGGCAACCCUGAUCCAGCCAUGCCGCGUGCGGGAAGAAGGCCUUCGGGUUGUAAACCGCUUUUGUCCGGGAAGAAAAGGCACCCCCUAAUACGGGAUGCUCUUGACGGUACUGGAAGAAUAAGCACCGGCUAACUACGUGCCAGCAGCCGCGGUAAUACGUAGGGUGCGAGCGUUAAUCGGAAUUACUGGGCGUAAAGCGUGCGCAGGCGGUUCGUAAAGUCUGAUGUGAAAGCCCCCGGGCUCAACCUGGGAAUGGCAUUGGAAACUACGAGCUUGACGUGUGGCCAGAGGGGGGUGGAAUUCCACGUGUAGCAGUGACAUGCGUAGAAGAUGUCGGAGGAACACCGGAUUGGC